UACGGAGGAUGCAAGCGUUAUCCGGAAUGAUUGGGCGUAAAGCGUCCGUAGGUGGCUUUGUAAGUCUGCUGUUAAAGAGUGAGGCUCAACCUCAUAAGAGCAGUGGAAACUACACGGCUAGAGUGCGUUCGGGGUGGAGGGAAUUCCUGGUGUAGAGGUGAAAUGCGUAGAGAUCAGGAAGAACAUCGGUGGCGAAAGCGCUCUGCUAGGCCGCAACUGACACUGAGGGACGAAAGCGAGGGGAGCGAAUGGG
Molecule: ribosomal RNA, 253 nt
Filed under: uncultured bacterium
Lineage: Bacteria
Description: partial 16S ribosomal RNA
Rfam family: Bacterial small subunit ribosomal RNA
Source: RNAcentral